CACGUAGGGGGCGAGCGUUGUCCGGAUUUACUGGGCGUAAAGCGCGCGUAGGCGGAUCGCUAAGUCAGGGGUGAAAUCCCAGAGCUCAACUCUGGAAUUGCCUUUGAUACUGACGAUCUGGAGUUCGGGAGAGGUGAGUGGAAUUCCGAGUGUAGAGGUGAAAUUCGUAGAUAUUCGGAGGAACACCAGAAGCGAAGGCGGCUCACUGGCCCGAUACUGACGCUGAGGCGCGAAAGCGUGGGGAGCAAACAGG
RNAcentral lists this ribosomal RNA (253 nucleotides) under uncultured bacterium. RNAcentral's name for it is "partial 16S ribosomal RNA". It matches the Rfam family "Bacterial small subunit ribosomal RNA", at positions 524 to 776 of the family's 1533-position model. The record is from RNAcentral.